Molecule: long non-coding RNA, 2058 nt
Organism: Acanthopagrus latus (yellowfin seabream)
Lineage: Eukaryota; Metazoa; Chordata; Actinopteri; Spariformes; Sparidae
Exons: 3
Source: RefSeq, a predicted model, not a curated record
GUGACCAGAAACUUCACGUUUAUUUGUCGUCGGUAAAGAGUGUGUUUAUAUUGUGUCCACUGCACCGGGAAUAAAACUAGAGGACCACGGGUCAGCAGGGGAGAUAGAGAGCUGUGUGUGUUACAUCCAGGAGAGGGGUGAGGCUCUCAAGCUACAAGCUAGGAAAAGACCGCUGAUCUCUGGAGAUGCUCUAACAGCUUGAUUUGUAUCAGCUCUCUGGUCUGGUUUUGUGGUUUGUUUGAGUUUAGUUCUUGUUUCAUUCUCACAGUUUUAUUUCUUCUCAGACAUGUCAGGAUAUGUGACAUGUGAUGCACCUGCUGUUAUCUUGCUUAUUCAUUUUCUGCAAAUGAAGCUUUGGUUAAACUCUUUAAAGUUCAUACGGAUUUUUUCAAACUGCACCUGUGAUUUAGUGUCUGUUACCUGUUUAACAAACAGCUGCACAGAAAGAACAAGCUUUAGUCUGAUUUAUACACUGUGUAUUUAUACUGUGUAUCUAUACUAUGUACUGUGUAUUUAUACUGAGUACUGUGUAUUUAUAAUGUGUACUGUGUAUUAAUACUGAGUACUAGGUAUUUAUACUAUAUAUCUAUACUAUGUACUGAGUACUGUGUAUUCAUGAUGUGUACUGUGUAUCAAUACUGAGUACUGUGUAUUCAUACUGUGUAUCUAUACCAUGUACUGUUUAUCUAUACCAUGUACUGUGUAUCUAUACCAUGUACUGUGUAUUUACACUGUGUAUUCAUAAUGUGCACUGUAUAUUAUGCCUGCCCCGAGGCACAUGAACCAUUUCAACUGACAGAAUAAGUUUAUAUAUUUAUUCAUUACUUCCCUCUGUAUUCGGUGAUAUUCUGCUGCAGCGUCUAAGGGGGCAUGUCGGCCGGUGAAAAGACCACGUUGAAAGCUGCUCUCAUGUGUUCUCGCUUCUCAAUCCUCACUGCUCGGAGCACAAAUAAGAGCAGUGGGACGGUCUGUAGGAUAGCACACACUUCCGGUUCAGGAGGGACGGAUAAGAAAAUUGAGAUGCACCUGGAGGCACAACAUGAAAUAAAGAUUGCCCACAGGAGUUGAGUUUUGUGGCAUGGACUAUAACCAUUCAGCUACCAGGGGGCUACAGAAUGUCUGAUAAUACCAAGACCUAUUGGACACAAAUAAAAAAGGGAACUCGGAUAACAGGACUGAAGUCCUGUUUGGAUGUCUUCAUUUGUUUAAUGAAUGCUUAUGAAAGCAGACAAAGCAGACAAAAUGCCCUGUUGCUCUCAUCUUUCUUGAUAUCAAGGCAGACCUUGAUACAGUAUUUCAGAAUCCUUCAAAUAAUUGCUUACAAUGUUAUGUUAAUGUUGUAAACAAUGUUUUGUCUCAUCCAGCUCUCCAGCCAAUCAAAAUGUGGUAAAUGGCUUGUCGUCUGUACUGUUCUCUCACAUAAACAUUCAUUCUUCUAUUACAUGCAUACAGUCUAUUACAUAUUUAACUACUAACUAAUGUACAAUGAACAACAGGUCUCCCGGUAUCGCCUCCACGCUCUUGAGACUGUGCUGGGAGACACAGCAAAACUUUAUGUGUCCGUACAUAUGGAUAUGCCCACUCAAUAGCCGAACCGUUCAUUUGCACCAAAGCAUUCGAUUCACAAUCUCUUGUGCUUCCUAAAUUGAGAGAGAGUGAAAGGCCUCUCAUGUGUUUAUUUGGUGCUGCUGUGAAACACUCUUACAGCUUUAAAAGAGUGAUAUGCCUGCAUACAAUUCAUGUUUAGGUAAUGAAUCACUGUUUAGCACUUUGUCAUAGGGGGAGAUAACACUUGACGCAGUUAUUGAAAAGAAAUGCAGGGACACUUCACGGCUGCUGAUAACACGUACCAUCACUCCAAGUAUGUCAUGAUCUCCUACACUGAAUGAAAAACUAACCUGUGGUACACUGCAGAACUGGGUUACUCACCCAUCGUAUUUGAGAGAAAUAUCGUCUCCCUAUUCACAUUAUUUCAGCAAAAAGACUGAAUAAAUGAAUUUUAAUCACGUGUGUUGAUUUUGCUGUUACCCAAGGAUGUUUUUCAUGUGCUGUGAUAAA